Molecule: ribosomal RNA, 1302 nt
Filed under: Triticum aestivum (bread wheat)
Lineage: Eukaryota; Viridiplantae; Streptophyta; Magnoliopsida; Poales; Poaceae
Description: partial small subunit ribosomal RNA
Source: RNAcentral
AUGCCAUCAGCUAUCGUCUCGUCCCUAUGCACGGAGCAGGAGGUCGAAACGAUCAGCGUGAGGCACGACAUCCCAGAGAAGCUCACUCGGUGCCUUGCGGGCAACAAGCCCGUGUGCGCGCCGCCGGACGGCGGCGUCGGUGUGUACGUGGACGCGCUGGAGGCCGGGAUGCACUUCCCGCUGCACGGCUUCUUCCGCCAGGUGCUCGCACACUUUGGCCUGGCGCCCAGCCAGUUCACGCCCAACGGGUGGCGUGUUAUGGCCGGAUUCGUCGUGCUCUGCCACAAGUCCGGCGUGGAGCCGCCGCCUCUGGCCGUCUUCCGCCACUUCUUCUCGCUCCGCGCGCGCGGGGGAUGGUACCACUUCCGGGCUAAGGACGCCGCCGGGGGGCUCUUCACAAAGCUGCGGAAGGUCAAGGGCUGGAAAACACGAUUCUUCUUUUUGACCUCGCCGGAGCCGUGGCAGUUCCCCGCUUGCUGGGGCGGCCCCCCGCCCAAGAGUUCCACCGGUGAUCCGCUGCUCACGGACGAGGAGAAAACAUUGGCAAAAAAGCUUCUGGGCGCAAACUUCUCUGCUCAGUUACCUGCACAGCCGCCGCCUGCUGUUCGAAUCAGAGGAAUCAAUCCAUCUUCUGACGAGAUGACCGAGAAAAUGCCGGCAGCACGGAUGAAUUUGCGGUCGUCCGGGAGGAAGAGGAAGCUAGAGGAGGCCAACGCAAAUCAGGGAGUGCCAACGGUGAAGUCGCCGCCUGCAGCCCAUGGGGACAUGGCCGACACGGAGGCCACACAGGAGGCGCUGCAGGCCAUUCUCGCGGCCUCGCAGGGGUCGGUGUUCGCGGCGGCGAAGCCAUCCGACGUCGUCGCAUUGAGCCACGAAAAAGUGCUGCAGGGUUUGAGCUACGUGUCGUUCUUCCUGGAGCGCACCAUGGACCUGCAGGAGAAGGUGACCGCUCGGGAGGGCGAGGCCGCCGCGGAGGCUGCGGUGUUGCGGCAGGAGCUGGAGAGUGUGAAGGCCGAGCUGGCCGAGGUCAAGGACGCGGUCGGUGCGGUGGAGCUGGAGAACGCCAAGGAGCUGGCGAUGCAGGAGUUCCUUGGCUCCGAGGAGCACGCCCGUCGAGCUCCAGGGCUACGAUGCGAAGGGGUACGAGCGCGGCGUGGAGGACACGAGGAUGACCAUGCUCCGGCACUACCCACACCUCGACGGCAGGCGGCUCGUCGUGCCGCCGGAAGGGCCGUAUUGAUUGUAUCGUUCUGUCGUCGAUCGAUCCUUUUGGAGUCGGAGCUAUCCUGUGGUAUUAUCUGA